CCCCUAGAUGUUCUGGGCCGCACGCGCGCUACACUGAACAGUUCAACAAGUCUUAACCUUGGCCGAUAGGUCUGGGUAAUCUUUGAACGCUGUUCGUGAUUGGGAUAGACCUUUGCAAUUAUGGGUCUUCAACGAGGAAUUCCUAGUAAACGCAAGUCAUCAGCCUGCAUUGAUUACGUCCCUGCCCUUUGUACACACCGCCCGUCGCACCUACCGAUUGAAUGGUCCGGUGAAAUCUCGGGACGGCGGCUUGGUCGCUUGCGUCCGACUGCUGAAACUUGAUUAAACCAUAUCAUUUAGAGGAAGGUGAANUCGUANCA
Molecule: ribosomal RNA, 320 nt
Filed under: uncultured eukaryote
Lineage: Eukaryota
Description: partial 18S ribosomal RNA
Rfam family: Eukaryotic small subunit ribosomal RNA
Source: RNAcentral